Molecule: unclassified non-coding RNA, 790 nt
Filed under: Bombus terrestris (buff-tailed bumblebee)
Lineage: Eukaryota; Metazoa; Arthropoda; Insecta; Hymenoptera; Apidae
Description: misc RNA ENSBTSG00005034162.1
Source: RNAcentral
CAAUAAUUUUUUUUAGAUGCCCAAAUAUUGAAAAAGUCUUCUGCAUCUUCAGUAUCGCUAUUCUCUGCUUGAUUUGAAUCCGUGUUAUUUGUAUUAAAAAUAUCAGGUUUGAUAUGUUUUGGUGGAGUCAUGUUAUUUUGUAAAGUAUGUGUUAGGUCAUAAGAAUAACUGAAGUAGAAAUUACUACUAAGAUCUAUGCUUUGAAACAUCUUCACAUAUCUUUGUUCAUCAGGGUGAAAAACACGAAUAGUAUCAUUUGGAAUAUAAAUCAUUGAAGUGUCUUCUAUUUUAUAUAUUGUAUGAUGCCCAAUUACAGCCACUCUACGUCGUUUAGUUACAAGAAUUAUAUAAGAUUGGUCCUUACCAAGAAGACCAAAAGCUGGUACUAGUCGAGGGAAAGUUUCUCUCUGCCACAUUGUUUUCCAGGUGAAUUUAGUUUGAGUUGGUUUGUGCAAUGGUUUCUGACAUUCUUGGUGUUCAGAUUCUUCUGAUACACCAUUGUCAGAUGUAGAUUCUUUGUGAAUGUUGCCUUUGUUAGCAAGCAAAUACAUAAUAUAUGGAAACUAAGUCUUAUAUAAUAUUUUAGCAAUAGUUUUACUCCAAUAUUACUAUGUAUAUUUAUGUUAUUUUGCGUCUAGUAUUAAAAUGCAAUUGAUGCAAAACAUGCAUGCCAAGAAUUAAAUCAUGCAAAAUUAUAAAGCUUAAGCUAUGUCUCUGACAUGUACGUUGCUCUUACAUAUUACAUACAAUGUAACUAUGUAUUAAUAAAAAACAAAGAAUUGAUAUAUAA